UCCAGUACAUGUGAUCAAACAAUACAAAACAACAUCAAACUAAAAUCUGCAAAGCUUUCAACUGAGAUUUUAAAAUGAAACAAGGGGUCAUCCACAAAUGCAUGUGGAGACAAUUCCAAAAGUAUGAAACUGUUUCACUGUUGACUUCUUACUACCCAUCUAAACAGAGAAAAGAUAAAUCUGAACACUACAGCAGGAUACAGAAAUCAGCUGAGAGAAGCAGCAGGGAAGCCUUGCCACGGCAAUCCAGAGAACUGUGAAAAGACAGUCUCUUUUCUGUGUCUGCCUGCCAUAAAGAAAAUGACCAUCGAAGUAGGAAUCUGUGGCAGCCGAACCUUAUUUUAAACUGGAAAAUCUCCCCCUAUGGGAUGCAAACAACACAGGAAACUAUUUGAAAACAAAUGUAGCCAGUAUGGGAAAGAAUUGCAUUAGACAACUGGGAUGCAGAAACAUAGUCAGGCCAUUUCUUAUCAGCAUUUCUCACUGACCAGAGAGACUUGGUUGGCAAAUGGAAAUGAGUAGCACUGGAUCACCUUGGAGGAAAACUCACUGUGACAAUUACUUGGCAAGCGAACAAGAAAAAGAUACAGAAACACAGUUGCACAACCUUGGCUUCAAGACCACAGGGGGUGUGCAUAUUGAUAGUUUGUCUGUUUUGUGGCAAAACGCAUCAGGACCCACAAAAACAAAUGUGAAGACAGUUAGGAGAAAGGGACAAGAUGGUAUCAGAUAUAAUAGGCUGCAUUUCUAAAUAUAAAUAGCAUUUCAUUCUCCUGCUUUGGCUUGGCCUUGCCGAAUUGAGACUUCUUGGCUCAGUACUGUUCUGCAUACUAAGAUGGACACAAAAGCAUACACAACACUUCCUGAAGUUUGAUAUUAUGCAUAUGUACUCAGAAGUGCAUUCCACCUGAAUGAGAAUUACUUUUUAGUUCACUAUGUCUAGGAUUACCUUCUGAAUAUUCUUAAUAUUUAUACAGAAAUGCUUUUCUUGAUUUGUGCCCCAAUUCCACCUGCUGUACACAUAUUAAAGAUAUAGAGAAUGCUG
Molecule: long non-coding RNA, 1045 nt
Organism: Anolis carolinensis (green anole)
Lineage: Eukaryota; Metazoa; Chordata; Lepidosauria; Squamata; Anolidae
Exons: 3
Source: RefSeq, a predicted model, not a curated record